CGUCUCUUACACCUCCUCUCCGUUCCCAGCACCUCCGCACCUCGUCCUCCCCAUCCCCAUUGCCCCACCGUCGCCACCUUCAUCUCCCCGUCUCCAUCGCCUCAUCCUCUUCCCCAACACUUUUAUCUCUUUCUCUCCACAUAUAGAUCAAUCAUGCGACAAAUUAGCUCGAUCUAUAGAUGGAUCUUAGCGGCAUUGUCGAUCUGUGCCCAGGAUGAGGAGAUCGGGGUUGGGGAGAUGAGGAGGCGACAACUGCGUGUCGUCAGAAGUCAUCGCCAUCUCCUCCCUUCUUCCUAGCUAGCUCCCAGCCUCGCCUCAACUACCACUCGUCAGGAACUCAGGAGUCAGGAUUGCUCCAAGCAUGCAUGACAAGAUCUUAGCUAUGCCUAUGCUUCAGCCGAUAACUGGCUUCCUUGAUUUCACCAUCCAUGCACACAAGAUGCUCGAUGAAAAGUUUACUUGAGAUUGGUCUGCUAUUUGAUCAGUUCCCGUGGGAACUCCCCAGCUAGCUAGCUUAAACUUGCGAUUAAUUUAACUCAAGCAAUGAAGCGAAUAAGCGAUGCAUUCAUCCGUCAGUUGAUGAUGGCUUUUGGUAUGCAGCUUUUGAACUUAAUGUGCUCUGAUUUUAUAUUAGAUUUUUGUUCUCUUCCGUUGGUGUGUCUUAACAUUGUUGUCUUCCUUCACUAACUAAAUAAUUAAUAUCAUUUUAAAUAAGAGAAUAGUGAUGAAAACUUAUCAAUUAUGGUCUAGAAGGAUAAGGCACUGAAAUUUUCUUUAACUGACAGAGUACAUCUUCAAGGAAGAAGCAGCAACCUUUUCUACUAUUGACAAAGCGCAUGAUUGUUUGUCACAGGGUAAAGUAACUCACAGAAUGCCAAUUUACCUAUUUUACUACAUUGUCAGAUUCCAUAUGCUCAUGUACAUCAGCACAACGAUUCAUUUGAUGCUCAUAUUUGGUUUUAGAAAUGGUAAAUUUUCUCUUAGAAUAACUCCUAUAUGACUAUAAUUGGUCUUUAGAUUUCACAUAUUUCAUUUUGCUGCUGAAAGCUAGAUUGAAUUGAAGAGCUGCAAAUACAGUAAUCCGUAUGGAUAUACAUCGGAUUUAUUUACUCUUUUAUCAUACUCCAAACCCAACCUAAUUCAUUUUUGUUAACUCUGCAAAGUGCACAUGGUAGGAGUAGGACAACUUAGGUUCAUACACCUUUGAAGUCAGAAAUAUUUUGUAGAUCACUUCGUUAGAUUUAAUGAUAUAUGAUUUUUUGUAACAUAACAUUUAAGUUCUUUUGAUUGGCAAGAUAAUGUAUAUUUAGAAAACUAAUUAAAGGUUAUUACUUAAGAUAAGCGAAAGAGAUACUUCCACCCUAUGCAGCGGUGGUUCUAACAAUUACUAUUUAUUAAGUCAUAUGGUAUUGUCAAUUUUCAAAUUUAAAGUAGAAUUUCAUACCAUAUUUUGACUCAUAUAUACAACGUUUUCAUACGGGUAUUUAAUGUCGCGCAACGUGCGACUAAGUGGCUAGUUUAUCUUUGGUUUGAUAUUCCUCCACAAUUAACAAUUGCCACUGUUCGCGUGUUUUUUCUUGCCUUUCUUCACAUGUAUUAUAUAAAUUAGCACAUCUUUUGAUGGUGAUAUACAUUUGCACAAUGCUAUGUCGACCUCAUCUUUCUCAUCUUAAAUCUGCCAAAGAAACAAGCCACUAUUGAACCCUGUGAGACAAGGGUAAAAGCAAAUUUAAUAGUAGAGCUUACUAGUAUCUAUAAGUUUAUUGCAGAGCUAACAUGUAUAAUACAUUAAAUUAGCUAUAAGGUUAGCUCUAUAUUUUUUCCUCCUCUCUCGGAUCUUUCUCUUACUACGAAUUUAAUGCAUAUUUCUUGAAGCAUGUGUAGAGCUAGCUUUCACAUGAGAAUCAACUCUCCCCACUUUUCUUUAUCUCUCUUUCACAUAAUCAUGUAACACAUAAGCAUAUAGCUUGCUUAUAACUCACUACUAUCAUUGCUCAUAUAGCUCAUCUUCCAGCAACCUUGAUGUUCAAGAGCAAAGACUCGUGACCACCAUCGUCCAACAAUAUGCAUGCUAGACACCAUGAGCAGACAUGAGUGACAACCACGUAACAAUAGUUGUGUUAUCCUGUGGGGUUUGCGACCACGAAAAUGGAUGAGUAAUGGUAAUAUUGGGGAGAAUCUUAAACUAAAAUGAAUUAGGAUCGGAUGAGAUAUUUGCAACAAAUCAUCUUAUAUCGAACUCAAGACGACAUUUAGGAUGGUUUUUGUAUUUUUUUUUUUAAAAAACUAUUGGACCAGGACCACACUCAGGAAACCCGGCCGGAGUCUAACACUGGCUAACAUGUUGGACGAGCAAGGAUUGUCAAAAUCAAGAUCUUGUGGAUAACUAAUGAAUCCAAACUUAGCAAGGCAGUAGCUCCUCUAACAUUGCUAAAUGCACACAAACAAUGUUAGCAAACAGUUCGUCAUGGUUAAAAUUAGCCAGAAAUAUCGUAUAUAUAUUUCUUUUGCAAAUUUCUGCACCCAAAUGACCAAGUGACUGAAGUAAGGCCCCGGUUGAAACAUGUCAGACAUGAGCAACGAGACAUCCCUUGGAAACUUUUUUUUGGUAAAUUGGAACCAUGCCAUUAUAAUUUUGCAAAGUUUGAGAUAUGCCAUCGGCAUCUCAAUGACAUGUAGGACCCACAUGAGUCAAUGACAUGUGGGUCAGGAUGGCAUAUCUCAAAUUUUGCAAAAUUAUAAUGGCAUGGUUCCAAUUUUCCUUUUUUUUUUUUUUACAUCCUACAACUAUCAUCAUGAUAUUGUUGAUAUGCAGAUGUUUAUGCUGAGAAAUAAGUAUUUUUUCCCCUAACUCAAAAGCGUAUAGCUGACAGGCCAAGUGAUUCUAAUGCAUGUAAACCACCAAUGCUGUCAGGGAUGAUCCCACUUAGAAGAAUUGUAUGACAGGUUCAAGCUUACAAAUCUCUGCAGGAACUUGCCCUGUUAAACUGUUUCAUGACAGAUGAAAAUUUACCAUGUAGAUGAUUCCUGUCUAAUAUCCAAACUGCUGCCCUUUUGUAAUAACUGGCAAGGUGUUAUUGUGUUAGGGAAAACGCCCAAAUCAACUUCAUCAAUCCCCUCAGAAUUACUAUAACUACAAUAUGAAAGAUUGAAAGUGAGUCAUUGUCUGCAGGACUGAGAGUCACCCCUCAACUUCUUAAAUGAUUCUGGAAUGGUGUCUGACAUGUUAGACGGAGGGAGUAGGUAAUUGGCAAU
Molecule: long non-coding RNA, 3255 nt
Filed under: Oryza sativa (Asian cultivated rice)
Lineage: Eukaryota; Viridiplantae; Streptophyta; Magnoliopsida; Poales; Poaceae
Description: long non-coding RNA (OSAT_LNC000943)
Source: RNAcentral